Molecule: ribosomal RNA, 254 nt
Filed under: uncultured bacterium
Lineage: Bacteria
Description: partial 16S ribosomal RNA
Rfam family: Bacterial small subunit ribosomal RNA
Source: RNAcentral
ACUCCUACGGGAGGCAGCAGUGGGGAAUAUUGCACAAUGGGGGAAACCCUGAUGCAGCCAUGCCGCGUGUGUGAAGAAGGCCUUCGGGUUGUAAAGCACUUUCAGUAGGGAGGAAGGUAUGGUAGUUACAUACCUGCACUAUUUGACGUUACCUACAGAAGAAGCACCGGCUAACUCCGUGCCAGCAGCCGCGGUAAUACGGAGGGUGCGAGCGUUAAUCGGAAUUACUGGGCGUAAAGCGCAUGCAGGCGGCC